GACGAACGCUGGCGGCGUGCUUAACACAUGCAAGUCGAACGGAAAGGCCCUGCUUUUGUGGGGUGCUCGAGUGGCGAACGGGUGAGUAACACGUGAGUAACCUGCCCUUGACUUUGGGAUAACUUCAGGAAACUGGGGCUAAUACCGGAUAGGAGCUCCUGCUGCAUGGUGGGGGUUGGAAAGUUUCGGCGGUUGGGGAUGGACUCGCGGGUUAUCAGCUUGUUGGUGGGGUAGUGGGUUACCAAGUCUUCGACGGGUAGCCGGCCUGCGAGGGUGACCGGCCACAAUGGGACUGCGAUACGGCCCAGAAUCCUACGGGAGGCAGUAGGGGGGAAUAUUGCACAAUGGGCGGAAGCCUGAUGCAGCAACGCCGCGUGCGGGAUGACGGCCUUCGGGGUGUAAACCGCUUUCGCCUGUGACGAAGCGUGAGUGACGGUAAUGGGUAAAGAAGCACCGGCUAACUACGUG
This 468-nucleotide ribosomal RNA is filed under the name uncultured bacterium. RNAcentral describes it as "partial 16S ribosomal RNA". It matches the Rfam family "Bacterial small subunit ribosomal RNA", at positions 28 to 507 of the family's 1533-position model. The record is from RNAcentral.